Molecule: ribosomal RNA, 253 nt
Filed under: uncultured bacterium
Lineage: Bacteria
Description: partial 16S ribosomal RNA
Rfam family: Bacterial small subunit ribosomal RNA
Source: RNAcentral
GACGUAGGAGGCGAGCGUUGUCCGGAUUCAUUGGGCGUAAAGAGCGCGCAGGCGGCUUGGUAAGUCGGAUGUGAAAACCCGAGGCUCAACCUCGGGCGUGCAUCCGAAACUGCUCGGCUAGAGGUAGGUAGGGGAGAUCGGAAUUCCUGGUGUAGCGGUGAAAUGCGUAGAUAUUGGGAGGAACACCAGUGGCGAAGGCGGUCCCCUGGGCCGGAACUGACGCUGAGGCGCGAAAGCGUGGGUAGCAAACGGG